AUCCAUCUGUAGCUUCAAAUCGUGACGAUCUGGUGUUGACACGCACGUGUGAGACUUGUCUUCUCCCUCACACUGUGUUUCGUCCACACAUCACCCGUCUGACG
Molecule: small nucleolar RNA, 104 nt
Organism: Lemur catta (Ring-tailed lemur)
Lineage: Eukaryota; Metazoa; Chordata; Mammalia; Primates; Lemuridae
Product: small nucleolar RNA U13
Exons: 1
Source: RefSeq, a predicted model, not a curated record